This 301-nucleotide ribosomal RNA is filed under the name uncultured bacterium. RNAcentral's name for it is "partial 16S ribosomal RNA". It matches the Rfam family "Bacterial small subunit ribosomal RNA", at positions 509 to 807 of the family's 1533-position model. The record is from RNAcentral.
CAGCCGCCACGGUAAUACGAAGGAUGCAAGCGUUAAUCGGAAUUACUGGGCGUAAAGCGUGCGCAGGCGGUUGUGUAAGACAGGUGUGAAAUCCCGGGGCUCAACCUCGGAACUGCCUUUGAUACUGGAAGUCUUGAGUGUGGAGGAGGUAAGUGGAAUUGCGAGUGUAGAGGUGAAAUUCGUAGAUAUUCGCAGGAACACCAGUGGCGAAGGCGGCUCACUGGUCCACAACUGACGCUGAGGUGCGAAAGCGUGGGGAGCAAACAGGAUUAGAUACCCCUGUAGUCCCUGUCUCUUAUAC